AUGAUUUUUUUUCCUUACCAAAGGGCAUCCAGUGGAAGAUCAUGGUUAUGGAAGUUUGGGGAGAAGGAAACCACCAUUCAUCCAUGCAAUGAGAUAUCUUGUUACAAGUAUCUUACUCUAACUGUUUCUGAGAGAAUGCCUUCAGGACUUGAUGUGCCCCCUGUCCCAACCCACAGGAUGGAAACAUUCUGGUACCACUUGAGCCACUGUGGAGCCCAGCAGAGCCCCACAGACACUUGGAAGAGGAUUAUGGGUCCUUUCCCACAAAUCUAGAGACAGUCAUCACCUGCCUUGGCUUGUGACUACCUCUUCACAGAUAAUUCUUGAGAUUGGUUUGUUGACAAUGCAAACAUUCAACUCCAUGGGAUUUCUGUAGGGGCAAGAAAAUAAGCCCUUGCUUGGCCGCAAGGGCAGCAAUAUGGUGAAAAGCAACAGCAGCCAUCCUCUGCAAUGCCUCCUGGCCAGUCUUGCUCUACUCAAACUUUCAGAAAAGGGCUUUGCAGUUGUCUCCAGCCCCUGCAAAGAGUGUGGGGGAAGCGGGAGACCAGGGCCUGUGCCAGGAUGAGGGGUGCAGGGUGCAGUAGCAGGGGAGGCAGGCAGAAGGGAUCUGCCCACAGCCCAAGCUGUGACAGAGAAAUUGAAAUGUAAAUUCUGCACCCUGGCAAUAAAUUUCACAGCAGCCUAAUUUUCCUAGGAAUGACGCCUUGGGCAGAGCCUGUGUGGGCCAGAAAGGAACGGGCUUUAAAUUUUCUAGAACUCCCUAAUCCGCUUUAUCAGUCGCUUCUCCCUAAACUGCUGCUGCUCCCUAAGAGAUUUAAAGCCACAGUGGCUUCUUCAAGGCCUCUUCCAGAUUAUUAUAUUUAUUCUCAUCCAGUCAAGACAGAGAAACAUUAGCAUGUGAUUUACACUGCAGGACCAAUCGCAGAUACCGGCACUCAAUAUUUGAAAUUCAAGCAGUAGCUACUUGCAACAAGCUGGUCAGGAUCAAUUUGGAAAUAACAAGGAGGGUUCUGCCUUUUUAGAAAGGUGAUUGUUGAGGUCUGUCAGUCUUACCAGCACAUGCAAUGGCACUCACAAAGUAUUAAUACAUGUGUCUGUGCUAGGUUUAAUUCCUUUCUUUUGUUUAAGGUUUUUUUUUUUCCUCUUGCAACCAUCUGCUUUUCCUCUCAUGUUUCAAGUCUUUAUAUCUAUCUGUCAAGCAGGCAGUGGAUUCAGGAUGGGUUUUCAUGCCAAGGCAUUCCUUUAUCUAAUGAAAACAAGUGAAUAAAACAUAAGAGAAGUAGCUUUAAAUUAAAAAUAGAGAGGAAAAAAACCCUAAAGAAAACCAAUAUCUGAAGGGAAACAUUUUUUCCUAGGAAAAUGCCUAUUGGAUAGAUGAAUUUCUAUUUAUUUCUUGUAAUUUAAAUAGGCGUCUAUAAUUAUACCCUAUUUAAAUAAGAAUAAUGACCAUGUCUGGCAGAAGAGAAAUAUAUACGUAUGUGAAGAGUCAAGACAAUGCAGAUAAACUUCUGAUGGCAUGACAUAUUCAUGCAGAGUAGUCACUUUUCAAAACUAAAAUUUCCUCCCAAAGGCCUCCAGUUUGUAUUAUUAAUGACAUUUUUCUUAGCCUGCAUUACCAUUUCCAUUGGAGGGGAAAAAAGACAAAAACUUUUCUCAAGUUUGAAAGGAAAAAGUGGUCUCUGAGGCACAAAUAUCAAAUGCUUUUGCACAAACCUUUGAAUAGAUUUCAUCCACAUGGUUUUCUAAAUUAGUAGAGUGAGCAUCCACUCCUGGCCUGAGACCCUGUGCUGAGGAACUCAGAGAUGAGGUACAGCUAAAUGGCAAACCUGGAGGGAAAAAAAAGCACAGAAAAAGCAUUUCCCAAUGCUACACUGCAACAGCAGCCCCACGCAGCAGGGCACCUUCCAGCCUUCAGAACACUGGUCGCAUUUCACAGUAGCUUUGGUGAAGUGAAUA
Catharus ustulatus (Swainson's thrush) is the source of this 1956-nucleotide long non-coding RNA. Lineage: Eukaryota; Metazoa; Chordata; Aves; Passeriformes; Turdidae. The record is from Ensembl.